UGGUUGUAUAUAAAUUUAUUUUUUAUAUAGGUUUCUUCAAAGAAUUGAUGGUAAGGUAGCUGCGGAACCGUAGCUCUUAGGUCUUUAUAAUAUAUCAUAAGGACCUAAUUAAGAGCUAUGGUUCCGCACCUAAUAGUAAGAUUGGUUGAUUUAUUUCAUUUCAUAUUUUUUCAUGUGUAUAUGGUUGUAUAUAUAUUUAUUUUUUGAAUAGGUUUCUUCAAAGAAUUGAUGGUAAGGUAGCUGUGGAACCGUAGCUCUUAGGUCUUUAUAAUAUAUCAUAAGGACCUAAUUAAGAGCUAUGGUUCCACACCUAAUAGUAAGAUUGGUCGAUUUAUUUCAUUUUAUAUAUUUUCAUGUAUAUUGUUGUUUAUAUAUUUAUUUUUUAUAUAGGUUUCUUGAAAGAAUUGAUGGUAAGGUAGCUGUGGAACCGUAGCUCUUAAGUCUUUAUAAUAUAUCAUAAGGACCUAAUUAAGAGCUAUGGUUCCGCACCUAAUAGUAAGAUAGGUUGAUUUAUUUCAUUUGAUAUAUUUUCAUGUAUAUGGUUGUAUAUAUAUUUAUUUUUUAUAUAGGGUUCUUCAAAGAAUUGAUGGUAAGGUAGCUGCCGAACCUUAGCUCUUAGGUCUUUAUAAUAUAUCAUAAGGACCUAAUUAAGAGCUAUGGUUCCGUAUUUAAUAGUAAGAUUGGUUGAUUUAUUUCAAUUUAUAUAUUUUCAUGUGUAUAUUGUUGUAUAUAUAUUUAUUUUUUAUAUAGGUUUCUUCAAAGAAUUGAUGGUAAGGUAGCUGCGGAACUGUAGCUCUUAAGUCUCUAUGAUAUUUUUUGACUAUUUGAGGACCAUCUAUGUUCAAUAAAAUAAAUUUGUAAUAAAAUCUAUGUUCCGCAAAAUAAAUUUGACCCCUGUUAUAUAUAACACGGUAGUUUCUUACUUUCCAUUUUGGUCAGAUUCUUUUAAUCAUAUGCAUUUGCUUUGCAAAUGAAUGUUUUUCAUUGGAUAAUUUAACAGUUUUUCCUAUUUUAUUAUAUUUUAUGAUAAAUUGGAGUUCAAACUUGUGUAUCGUUACUUUUGUUGACUAGUAUAUUUAUAUUUCAUUUCAGAGUUCACUCACAGAUGUUUAAUUUGUAAUUUUGGAUUUUUGCAGAUUCAGCUUAGAGAGGAUGUUUCAGUUGUCGACCUUGAAUAUGGCUAACAGACCUGGAAGAGUGGCAUAUAGAUUUCCGUAACUCUAUACUCUAUAUAUUUUAUUUUUAUCACAGAUGAAGCUAAAUCUACUGUAACCUUUCUGUGACAUGAUUUUCAUGGUGUUGGAUUAUAAAACUUUGGGGUCUAAUACAUCUAAAAGGAAGGUUAACAUCACAGCUUGUCUGUAAGGAUUGAGGUUGGGAAUGGCCAUUGGAGCUGACUUUUAUGGUAACUUUAACUGUGGCUGCAUGAAAAUGAUUGGGUGACUGUACCAGUAAAGAAUGUAAUUCAGACAAUUUUUGUGUAUGUUUGAGAAAAUGUUUAUAAUUUUUUACAAAAAAAAAAAAAUAGUGUAAAGAUUCUCCAUUUUCAACAAGAUUGUAAGUUAUAGAUAACUUAUUUUGAAUUUUAAAAUCCCUCUUUUAACCAUUAAAACCAAAGGAUAUAUUCAGGUAGCUCUACUCAUGUCCAUUCUUGACAAUUUUUUUAUCAUGCAUAUUGAUACUGAACUGGUUUUUGGUAUGUAUAGUUUUGUUUUGUGUUCAUAGUUCAGAUUGUAUUCAUUAUUUUUUUUCCCCUGUGGCUAGAUUUAAUUGGUACUUUGAAAAUGAAUUGAAAUGGACCAAUUUUAUUUGAAGACCUACUCUUUUAGAUAUAUUAAUAAUGGUCCGUGUCUAGUCAAAACACUUCCAGAAGUUAAGAAUGGAGAAUCUAAAAAAAAAAAGAAAAAAAUGAGAAAUGUAUAUUUUGGCUUUCACCAUUGUUAAAUAUAUAUCUUUUCCGACUUUUUUCGUUUUUUUUAUGCCCCUGCCAUAGGGAAAGGAGGCAUUAAGUGUUACCCUUGGCGUCCUUCUGUCCUUUUGUUGUUCCUUUUGUCCCAUUUUUGUUUCCGCACUAACUUUUAAGAGUAAUGCCCCUUUAUCAGUUGGAAAGUUGCAAAUUUGGACAGUGAGUCACUUACUUUUCUAGAUUUAUGCUCCUUUUUACAAUUUUUAAAAUUGCAAAGCUUGAGCAAGGGCAUCGUGUCCUCAGACACAUUCUUCUUUUAUUUUUUAGCUGAGUUUGAUAUAAUUUAUAUUUUUAUCAAUUGUUUUAUUCUGAAUAAUUAUACAUUUUUUUAUACUGUCUAAAGUAUACUUCCUGAGACAGUCUUCAGAGCAUUAGGUUUUGGACUCAGGUUUCCAACAUUUUCCCACUACAAAUUCAGUUUUUAAAGAAGUUUGAUCAAGUUCACUCGUUUUAGUUGGUUGUCAUUGUUGUUCCUGGCAGGGAGAUUGAUGAUGAUAGAGAUUUUGUCAUUAUUUGGUAUUUAACUUAAAAUACAGCAUAGAAGCAUUUCAUCCAUUAUAAUUUUAUGAUUAUCUUUUAUGUAUAUAUGCUUACAAUUUGUAUACAUGGAUAUUGUUUUAAAAAUCAUUAAAAUCUGGUGUCCAGAUGAGCUGUCUGGGUUAUCAGCAACAUGAA
Mytilus californianus (California mussel) is the source of this 2641-nucleotide long non-coding RNA. RefSeq lists it as uncharacterized. The record is from RefSeq and is a predicted model, not a curated record. Lineage: Eukaryota; Metazoa; Mollusca; Bivalvia; Mytilida; Mytilidae. The transcript has 4 exons.